GACGAACGCUGGCGGCGUGCUUAACACAUGCAAGUCGAGCGAUGAAUUUUCUUCGGAAAUGGAUUAGCGGCGAACGGGUGAGGAACACGUGAAGAAUCUGCCCUCCACUUUGGGAUAACACAGGGAAACCUGUGCUAAUACCGAAUAUUGAAACAUAAGUGGCAUCACUGAGUUUUGAAAGAAUUUCGGUGGAGGAUGACUUCGCGGCCUAUCAGCUAGUUGGUGAGGUAAUGGCUCACCAAGGCAACGACGGGUAGCCGGCCUGAGAGGGCGACCGGCCACACUGGGACUGAGACACGGCCCAGACUCCUACGGGAGGCAGCAGUGGGGAAUAUUGGUCAAUGGACGCAAGUCUGAACCAGCCAUGCCGCGUGAAGGAUGAAGGUCCUCUGGAUUGUAAACUUCUUUUAUAUGGGAAGAAAUUCUCGCAUUCUUGCGGGAUUGACGGUACCAUAGGAAUAAGCACCGGCUAACUCCGUGCCAGCCGCCGCCGUAA
RNAcentral lists this ribosomal RNA (496 nucleotides) under uncultured bacterium. RNAcentral's name for it is "partial 16S ribosomal RNA". It matches the Rfam family "Bacterial small subunit ribosomal RNA", at positions 28 to 523 of the family's 1533-position model. The record is from RNAcentral.